GACGGGUAGCCGGCCUGAGAGGGCGACCGGCCACACUGGGACUGAGACACGGCCCAGACUCCUACGGGAGGCAGCAGUGGGGAAUAUUGCACAAUGGGCGAAAGGCUGAUGCAGCGACGCCGCGUGAGGGAUGACGGCCUUCGGGUUGUAAACCUCUUUCAGCAGAGAAGAAGCGAAAGUGACGGUACCUGCAGAAGAAGCGCCGGCUAACUACCUGCCAGCAGCCGCGGUAAUACGUAGGGCGCAAGCGUUGUCCGGAAUUAUUGGGCGUAAAGAGCUCGUAGGCGGCUUGUCACGUCGGGUGUGAAAGCCCGGGGCUUAACCCCGGGUCUGCAUCCGAUACGGGCAGGCUAGAGUGUGGUAGGGGAGAUCGGAAUUCCUGGUGUAGCGGUGAAAUGCGCAGAUAUCAGGAGGAACACCGGUGGCGAAGGCGGAUCUCUGGGCCAUUACUGACGCUGAGGAGCGAAAGCGUGGGGAGCGAACAGGAUUAGAUACCCUGGUAGUCCACGCCGUA
RNAcentral lists this ribosomal RNA (514 nucleotides) under Streptomyces sp. LP62. RNAcentral's name for it is "bacterial SSU rRNA". It matches the Rfam family "Bacterial small subunit ribosomal RNA", at positions 278 to 804 of the family's 1533-position model. The record is from RNAcentral. Lineage: Bacteria; Bacillati; Actinomycetota; Actinomycetes; Kitasatosporales; Streptomycetaceae.